AUUGCCUGGUUAAGUUUUAUGUUUAGGUCAGCUUUUCUCCUAAACUGUCAAAGCUAUUGCUUUGAAACUUGCAACACUUGUUCACCAUCAUAAGCUGACCCUGUAUAUCAAGAAACAUAACUCCAUCCUGCUUUUUGCAAGAUUUAUGGCCCCUUUUGUACUUAGAAAAUAUCAGAUUUCUUGGUUAAGUUUUAUGUUUAGGUCAACUUUUUCUCUUAAACUAUCAAAGCUAUUGCUUUGAAACUUGCAACUCUUGUUCACCAUCAUAAGCUGACCCUGUACAGCAAGCAACAUAACUCCAUCCUGCUUUUUGCAAUAAUUAUUCCCCCUUUUGGACUU
Molecule: long non-coding RNA, 339 nt
Organism: Mercenaria mercenaria
Lineage: Eukaryota; Metazoa; Mollusca; Bivalvia; Venerida; Veneridae
Exons: 2
Source: RefSeq, a predicted model, not a curated record